This 6220-nucleotide long non-coding RNA is filed under the name Homo sapiens (human). Its description in RNAcentral is "HSALNT0066692". Lineage: Eukaryota; Metazoa; Chordata; Mammalia; Primates; Hominidae. The record is from RNAcentral.
CUCAGAUGGAGUGAUGAGCUACCCAGUCCCAACUUCCCAGGCACCCUUGAACAAGGGGCCAGGGGUACAUGGCAGCCUUGUCUCUAUCAACCUGUGAAGUUGCUUAUGGUGUUAAAAUGUUGCCAGAGAUCAAGGAUGUCCAGACAAACACCAGCUAAAUCUAAAAAGAAGUCAGAAAACUAAUACAAGCUUAAAAUACCAAUUUCAGCACAGAUAUGCUUAUCUUUUAGACUUACUUUAUUUACCCACCUCACAUGACAUGGGGAAGAAUUCCUGAAGAACGUUUUCCCACUGAUUGUUUAAAAUCCUUCCUCUCAAUAAAGUCCUUUCUAAGUACACAUGGUUCCGUUUCAUUCUCUGGCUCAUCCUCUUAAUCACCUGCCUUUAGCGUCUCUAAUUUACUUAUUUGACAGUAUUUAUUGAGCAUCUGCUAUGGGCCAGGCACCAGGUUAAGAUGGCAGGAAGCCGAAUGAGACACGGUCCUGACCUGCGAGGGCUCGUGGUUGAGUCACGAAAAACUACACUGAAAGAAUGGCAAAUAGCGAGAUGUGUGCCAGGAAAAGACACGUGGCAAGUAAACUCACUCCUGGAGGAAAUCAAGAAAGAGAAUGGUUGGGUUUUCUCAAUAAUCCAUAGACUAUCAGGGCCAGAAGAGACUUUACAGAUUAUCUGUUCUAACCCCCUCAUUUUAUAAAUGGAAAACAGAGAGGGGAAGAGCCACACAGUUUUAAAGCUGGGGCCAACGCGUAAUGAAUUCUUUCUCUUUUCCUGGCUGAUAAUUUGUUGUGUGUCUCUCAAAUUGUCUCUUGAGGUAGGUAAAAUAGAAAUCAUCAGUAUACCACUGAAAGAAAUCUAUUUUGUUUUCUGACUAAAAAUCUACAAGAUAUACCUCAUCAACAUUUGUUUGAAAAUGUGACUAUUCUUUGAAGAUUACUAUCAUCGAUUCACAUUCAGUGCCUUGCCUGGGUAUUUUUAAGUUGUUCCUUAUUCCAGCAUUCCUACCACUAGUCUCAGCUAUCACAGUCCUUUAUAGAAAACGUCAUCAUGAUUCUUGUUGUUUCUCUACAUUUACAUAGCACCUCGGAGUUUAAGAAGCAUUUUCAGAUCCAUUGCUUCCACUGGGGGAGUCAAGUUGUUGGCUUGAUAGCUUUAGAGGGACAUGACAAGUAGAAGGAGGUUUGGAAAGGAGCAAAGCACGUGGUGACAGUGCUGGGGAACAAGACCUACAAAGCCGGGUGACAGGAGUAGGACGCCUGGGACUGCUCUUGUGGGGCCAGAUCACCAGGGGAGGGCUAGGGAAUGGAUUUCUAGUCCAUGAAGUCUAGUGAGCGGAAAGGAAACACAUCAAUAAACACAUCAAUAAACAUACUGAAUAAUGCCUGUGUGCAGGGCACCAUGCUAAGUGGAUUCAAAGAUGAGUGAUCAACGUACCCCCUUCAAAGAAUGUUUUGGAUUUCUGUUCAAUCUCCUUAAGCCACCGGGAGUGGAAGGCAUGAGUGAGCAGAAGCCACUGAGCAGAGAGAAGUGGAUGUACCAAGCUCCUGCUGUGUGGCCUCGGCUUCUCCAGGAGGUUUGGACUUAACCCCUAUUAGUGACUCAGGCUAAGGCUCUUCAUGGAAGAAUGGGCUGCCUCCCCGGGACUUGCUGGAAGGUGACAUGGGUGCAUUUAGGCAGAGUGGAGGGUGAUCUGUCACGGAAAUGGUAGACCCUGGUCCUUUCCCUUGAACAUCUCAGGUUGAACACUGGGGCGGUGCUUCAUUAUGAGCCAUUAAGUGGAUUCUCAUGAGUGAGUUUCUGUUGGCCUUAUAGACAAUGGGGUUUUAAUCAUGUUUAUCUAGGCUAAGAGAGGACAAGAGAACCAUUUGUGUACUUUCAAAGAAUCAGGGCCCCAUGGCUGAGUGCUGCUGGGGACGUAGAGGAGCAGCUAAGAGAGCCCAGAGGAUGAUCACGGAACUGGGACAGGGAGCGCCCAAAACCAUGUGAGAGGCCAUGGGUGGGGGGUGACUGAGAAACAAGCUACUAACCACCUUGAAAUACAUGAAGGGUAAGAAGAAACUCCCACAGGACUCUCAAAUCAGAAUGUAAAGGUAAUGCAGGGAGGGGAAUGGACGCAGGAGCUGGAGGAGUAUAGAAUUGUUACAAAGCAACCGUGAAGAUGAAGACUUUGGAAAGGAAGGACACAUUGGAACUAGCCUCACACAGGUGUUAGACUAGUCGUGGGAACUUCAGACCCACUACAGUGCUGCAUGCUUCUGGAUAGCAGGUCUUCUUGCUAAUUUAAAAUAGCCCCUGGCUCUCUCACCAGAUUGGCCACAACCUCCCAGCAGACCCCCUGGCCUCCCUGUGCUGGCCCCAACUACACUCUCAUGCUCCUUUCCCACUUCUCCCACCUCAUCUUGCAGAUUCCCUCCUCCAUAGCCUCUUUCUGGAUCUCUCCCACGGAUGUCUCAUCCUUCAAGGCUCACCUAACGUGCUACCUCCUCCAGGAAGCCUUUCCUGAUCCAUGCCACCAGAUGGUACAUGCUCCCUGCGGGAACCCAUAUAGCACAUUGUGCCUCUUUAUGGCACUUUCACUUCCUCCUGCAUUCUAACAAAUUGUGUGCUUGUCUGAGCUCUCACCCCCACCUCUCCUUAGAAAACUUCAAGGGCAGAGACCUGAUCCUUUCAUUUGUGUAUUCACAGUGCCAGGGCAGGAACCAGUGUGCCAUAGACACUCAAUAAAUGUUAAAUUGCAUUUCAGCCAAUGCAUACCUUGGACAAAGUUUCUGUGUUCCUUUAGAGGUUAUGACCGAGACUCGGGCUUAAACACUUGCCUCUGUCACUAGCCAGGUGAUCUAGGGUAACUUAAUUCAUCUCUGCACCUAGGUUUUCUCAUCUGUAAAAUGAGCACAACAGGACCUACCUCCAAAGGACACUGUGGUAGUCUUCAUAAAGCCCUUAGUAGAUUGUCUGGACACACUGUGAAUGCUCAGUAGAUGUAAGACAGGGUUAGCAAUGUGCAGUAUAAGGGACAUAAUUUCCUUUCGAUUGCCAAGAGUGCAGUGAUUCAUAUGCUCCUUUUCUACCUGGCAGUCUUUAUCUUCUGUAAAGCACAUCUUUGCACAAAGCAGCUUCAUAUCAUUUCAAUGCUGUUAGAUAUCUGGGCGCCAUAUACACAGGAAUGCUAGUAGGCAGUUUGUUAACUAGGAAUCAAAUAUACCAAUCAAAGAGAUUUUCCUCAAAGUGAUUUGCCAAUUCAUCCAUCCAUCAAGCCUGUGCCAUUACAAGCUGCGUGAGUCCUCCAAGGCCUGCGAAAAUGAAAAUGAACAAAACCAAACCCCUGUUCCCAUGUUGAUCACAGCCUCCCCGGGCAAAUAUAGCAAAGACCUAGAUAGAACUAUAAAAAGAGGCUGCGAGAGUCCAAAGAGGAGAGUGGCCGCCCCUGUGCAUGGUGAGGAGAGGUUGGGGAAGUGGGAGCGCCAGCAGGCCUCAUGGAAGAGGGGGUGUGCAGCUGGACCCUGCCAGGUGAGUAGGAAGAAGUUUGUCAGAGAGAGGAGGUAGAAGCAUCUCCAAAAACAGGAAGCAGCAAGUGCAAAGAGACAGAGUCCUUGAGUCCACAUUCGGCAAAUGCUGAGGUUGGUGGCCCUAAAAGGCCCAGAAAAUCAAUCCACAUUCUUCUAAUACUGAUGUGGAUUUUAUUUAAAAUAGAAACACUUCCACCAAAUUAGUUAUGAAUCCCAGAAGAGAUUAUCUUAUUGCUAAAAUAAAUGUUCUUUUCUUAUUUCUUCCAAAAUGAUUUGAUGGUUAUUUUUCUGAAGCAUAUUUCUGAUUUCUCUUGAAAACAAGUGCCUUCAGAAAGUCCAUGUCAGCCAAGGAGAAACAACUCAAAAGUAGCCCAGGAUCACAACUAUUUAGCCCCACCAAGGAUCAAAUUCUUCAUAUUCUCUAAACUACCCCCCCAGCACAUGGAGUGAUUUCAGCUCUUCAAAGCCAGUAAAGAGAUAAGUUCAUUGAAACUCAAGAUGACAGGCACAGAGCUCAUUAUAUCUGGUUUCAUUUGUUCCUUCAGUUAUUCUCUGAGGACAGUGGACAGUGAAUGCAGCCAGACGUCUCUUUCAGAAGAGCACAAAUGGAGGAGGAAAUUUUGUUCAUAACUUUGCUGGGAGAAUGUUUGGCCAAAUGCAGUGGCCUGAGGCCAGAAAAUGCCAUUUUUUAUCUCCAGUGCAGACAGGCAGAGAGGAGGUGUAAUGGAUUUAGCAAGAUAAAGACUUGGACCCACAGAAAAAGAAACACACACACAUCCACAUGCACACGUGAUCCUCACGGAAAAUUAGACUUCACUUCCACCUCUUGAGGUGGGAAUUGUAGUCUUACUGAAAUUACAGAGACGAAGCUACGGUCAUAUUACACAAAGCUGUAUCUAUCAGUGAAGGGUGGCCUCUUGGGAAUGAACUAUUUAAACAACAAUUGCGUGUCCAGAAUUCAUGAUGUGAGCAGAUUUUUCCUGAAAGAGGCAACUUGGCCUGUUGGGAUCAGAACUGUUGCUUAUUUGAUUGUUUUCCUUUUGGUCUCAGACGCUGGGGUCUCAGUGUCAGCUGGAGACUGAAAACUUCAGCCUGCAGGGAGAGAUGGGACAGAGGUGGCCCUGAGGGCCUCUGAGUCCUGGCUCCAGGUGUCCCAUUCGUCGGCCCUUCCUGUGCUUGGCUAUGCAAGCCAAUCCAUUCUCUGCGAUUGCUUGAAAUUUGUAAAAAAGAAAGAGAAUGAGGCUUUGUCAUCAUUGUGAGCUUGAGUAAAUCAUUUCUCACUUCUAGACCUCGGGUUUCUCACUUGUUAAGAGGGUGGGGGUGGGAGACUAAGCAAAUCCUCAGGUUCUUAAAAUUUGUUGAUUUAAUUGAUCUGGAAAAGGGAUUUUUUCCACCAUUUUGGUUUAGGAAUAUUUUAUGGGGCCCAGGAUGCAGAGGUUCCUUGAGUUCCUCAGUGAAGGACCGCAGUGACUUCAUGGUUGGGGUGGCAGUUAACCUGAGCAGCAAAGACUGCUGGGUAGAGCUAGGCGCUGCUUUUCAGAACCAAAGGCUUCACCUAUUUGAAACUUGUAUUAUGGAGGCAUGUUACAGAGGAAAGAGCACAAGACUUAGAAUAAUUGUCCUAGAUUUGAGUCUAGCCACUAAACUAACUCACUGAGAUUGUGGCCAGGGCACACCCCAAUUUGGGGACUCAGUUUACUUGUGGGUGAAGUGAAUAUGGGAGACAGACUCCCAGGAGGCUCCAUGGUCCAUGCUCCCUGGUGUACCCACCCUUGUGGGAUCCCUUCCCUCCAGUGUGGGUGGCACCUGUGACUUGUUUCUAACCAACAGAAUAUGGCGAUGGUGGUGGACGUCAGUGUCAUGAUAUUAAUAUAUUCCAGCGGACUUGAACACCCAUCUUACUAGCCGACUUUUGCUGUCAACUGUCUCCCUUGCUGGCUUUGAUGGAGUAAGCUGCCAUAGAGAGAGGUCCUGGAGAAGAACUGAGGGUGGCCUCUGGCUGAGGGCCCACAAGAAGCUGAGGCCCUCAGGCCAACAACCCUCAAGGAACUGAAUUCUGUCAACAACCACAUGAUUUUGGAAGCAGAACCUUCCCCGGUCAAGCUGCAGAUAAGAUCCCCAGCCCUGACUGACUCCCGGAUUAAAGCACCGUAAGAGAAUCUAAAACAGAGGAAUCAGCUAAACUGUGCCUGGACUCCUGACCCACAGGAACUGUGAAAUAAUAAAUGUGCUGUUUAAAAGUACGAAGUUUGUGGUAAUUUGUUAUGCAGCAGUAGAUAAGUAACACAACAAAGCAGUUAUAACCUUCUGUACCUGACAUCCUGUGAGCAUGACAAUACUCUUCUUAUGAUACCAGCAUUACACAUGUAACAGAAACCACUCCAUUAUGACAUACACAAACAUAUUGUAAGCUGCUGUUACUAUGCUGGGUUGAGAAUUAUUCAUCUUUCUAGAACUCCUAGGGUACUUGUUCUGUAUUUAGAUUCUCAUUUAAUCAGGACUCAUUUCCAGGCUUCUUCCUGCUGAUUGUAAAUACCAUGCUCACACACACAGGUCCACAUUCACACAUACACACAGGUCCACUCUCACACACAGGCCCACACUCACACAGGCCCACGUUCACACACACAGGUCCACAUUCACACACAAGAUCCACACUCACACACACAGGUCCUGCAUCUCGCUGAAUUUAAUUAAGGAUCAACCUGAAAUAAAAU